RNAcentral lists this small nuclear RNA (79 nucleotides) under Homo sapiens (human). Its description in RNAcentral is "partial ncRNA". The record is from RNAcentral. Lineage: Eukaryota; Metazoa; Chordata; Mammalia; Primates; Hominidae.
AGAGAAUCACUUAAACCCAGGAGACGGAGGUUGCAGUGAGCUGAGAUCCCGCCACUGCAUUCCAGCCUGGGCAACAGAG